GACGAACGCUGGCGGCGUGCUUAACACAUGCCAGUCGAACGGAAAGGCCCUGCUUGCAGGGUACUCGAGUGGCGAACGGGUGAGUAACACGUGGGUGAUCUGCCCUGCACUUCGGGAUAAGCCUGGGAAACUGGGUCUAAUACCGGAUAGGAGCCAUUUUUAGUGUGAUGGUUGGAAAGUUUUUUCGGUGUAGGAUGAGCUCGCGGCCUAUCAGCUUGUUGGUGGGGUAAUGGCCUACCAAGGCGGCGACGGGUAGCCGGCCUGAGAGGGUGGACGGCCACAUUGGGACUGAGAUACGGCCCAGACUCCGACGGGAGGCAGCAGUGGGGAAUAUUGCACAAUGGGCGCAAGCCUGAUGCAGCGACGCCGCGUGGGGGAUGACGGCCUUCGGGUUGUAAACUCCUUUCGCUAGGGACGAAGCUUUUUGUGACGGUACCUAGAUAAGAAGCACCGGCUAACUACGUG
This 465-nucleotide ribosomal RNA is filed under the name uncultured bacterium. RNAcentral's name for it is "partial 16S ribosomal RNA". It matches the Rfam family "Bacterial small subunit ribosomal RNA", at positions 28 to 507 of the family's 1533-position model. The record is from RNAcentral.